GAAGGAGCCGACUGAAGUACCUCUGGAAUCUAGCUCAAUGCCAGAUGUUCCAAGUGGUGAUAAAGCACAGGCUGUUAUUGAUGAACAAGAGGUUAUUGAUUUACAACCAUCGGGUCAAGAAGAACUACCUGAAGUGCAAAAGAAAUUCACCAAGUGUUCAUUCUGUCAUGGCUUAGGACAUAACCGGCAAACAUGUGCAACCUGGCAAGCUCAAGCAUGGAGAAAAAGAAAGGCUGCUAUGACUGUUUUUGGUCCAUUCCCUCCAUCAAAAGGGAAAAAUGACUAGGAAAAAGGAGAAAGCACAUAGGCUGUUGGAUGAAGAAGAUGAUAUUGUCGCCCAGUCAAGUUAAUGGAGUUUGGGAAUACAGCAGACUUCUAUUUUGUGGGAUAUGCUCUGUUUUGUACAUUAAGAGCUUCUGUUUUGUCAAUGGAUACUAAUUGGAUUAACAAUACGAUUCUGUUUUGUACA
Molecule: long non-coding RNA, 469 nt
Organism: Coffea arabica (coffee)
Lineage: Eukaryota; Viridiplantae; Streptophyta; Magnoliopsida; Gentianales; Rubiaceae
Source: RefSeq, a predicted model, not a curated record